UUUGAUGGCAUUCUAAAAGAUAAGAAUUGCAGGAUCAGAACUGGUUAGUACUUGGAAGGGAGAUCACCAAGAAAUUCCAGGGCUGUCGGAU
This 91-nucleotide ribosomal RNA is filed under the name Notechis scutatus (mainland tiger snake). The record is from RNAcentral. Lineage: Eukaryota; Metazoa; Chordata; Lepidosauria; Squamata; Elapidae.